CUACGCUGCGAUAAGCCGUGGGGAGCUGCGAAGAAGCUUUGAUCCACGGAUUUCCGAAUGGGGAAACCCACCUUCGAUAGCCGGAACUCCAAGACCUUGUGUUUUGGGGUUCGACCAGAAAUGGAAGAAACCAGACCGCGAGGUUUUGGAUUUCCGGUUAUCAAGAGAAGGUAUGAGACUUCCGAAUAAAAUAAGAGGUUUUAAGCAAACCCAGGGAACUGAAACAUCUAAGUACCUGGAGGAAAGGACAUCAAUCGAGACUCCGUUAGUAGUGGCGAGCGAACGCGGACCAGGCCAGUGAUACAUCAAAGACAAUCGGAACCUGUCAGGAAAGCAGGGCCUCAGAGGGUGAUAGCCCCGUACGAGUAAUGCGAUGAUGUAUCCACGAGUAAGGCGGGACACGUGUAAUCCUGUCUGAACACGGGGGGACCACCCUCCAAGCCUAAGUACUCCUCAGCGACCGAUAGU
Molecule: ribosomal RNA, 468 nt
Filed under: Bradyrhizobium sp. teph5
Lineage: Bacteria; Pseudomonadati; Pseudomonadota; Alphaproteobacteria; Hyphomicrobiales; Nitrobacteraceae
Description: bacterial LSU rRNA
Rfam family: Bacterial large subunit ribosomal RNA
Source: RNAcentral